CGAUCAGUAGCCGACCUGAGAGGGUGAUCGGCCACAUUGGAACUGAGACACGGUCCAAACUCCUACGGGAGGCAGCCGUGGGGAAUAUUGCACAAUGGGCGAAAGCCUGAUGCAGCAACGCCGCGUGCGUGAUGAAGGCCUUCGGGUCGUAAAACUCUGUCCUCAAGGAAGAUAAUGACGGUACUUGAGGAGGAAGCCCCGGCU
RNAcentral lists this ribosomal RNA (204 nucleotides) under Clostridioides difficile. RNAcentral's name for it is "partial 16S ribosomal RNA". It matches the Rfam family "Bacterial small subunit ribosomal RNA", at positions 277 to 498 of the family's 1533-position model. Lineage: Bacteria; Bacillati; Bacillota; Clostridia; Peptostreptococcales; Peptostreptococcaceae. The record is from RNAcentral.